This 29-nucleotide non-coding RNA is filed under the name Mus musculus (house mouse). The record is from RNAcentral. Lineage: Eukaryota; Metazoa; Chordata; Mammalia; Rodentia; Muridae.
UCCAAAGAGAAUAAAGAGGGCAGACUGGU